GGACAAGAUUCUGCACUUACAAACCAGUCCAGCGAGAAGACAUACACCCAAGACAAGCAGUGGCUUCCGAUUCCCAAAAGAAAAUCCUGUAAGACACGACUCUACAUAGUGGAAGCCCUCCACCAAAUAUCAGCUGUUCACAUGGCAACUAUAACCCGGAAGCAAGUGAAAGCUCGGCUUUAUGGAAGAGUGGCAAGCCACGUGAAAUCCUACUUGGACUUUACCAAAAGGCAUAUUGGAGACUCUGCAAAUGUGGGAAAGGGCAUUCUGGUAUAAAGAGCUACCUUGGCACAACUCUGCUCAUCACCCUGGACAACAUCUCUACAGUGAAGCAUGGUGGUGGCAGCAUCACGGUGAGUUUCACUUUGUAACCCAUUAAAAUGUGGAAAUGG
Molecule: long non-coding RNA, 392 nt
Organism: Ictalurus punctatus (channel catfish)
Lineage: Eukaryota; Metazoa; Chordata; Actinopteri; Siluriformes; Ictaluridae
Exons: 2
Source: RefSeq, a predicted model, not a curated record